Molecule: long non-coding RNA, 3526 nt
Filed under: Equus caballus (horse)
Lineage: Eukaryota; Metazoa; Chordata; Mammalia; Perissodactyla; Equidae
Description: lncRNA (ENSECAG00000036383.3)
Source: RNAcentral
GAGUGCCUCUGGUUGUCCUACGUCAGACCCCGCCUCAGCAUGGCCUGAUGAGCGUUAUCACGUCUGCACCCAGGAUUCAAACCGGUGAAACCCUGGGCUGCCGAAGCGGAGCGUGCGAACUUAACCACUUGGCCACAGGCCCAGCCCCUUCGUUGCUCUUCAGGAUGAAAGAGUGCACUAUGGAAACCAGAUGAAAUCAAUGAACUGAUGUUCACGUAGGCGGAAGCUUAGAGACCAGGCAAUGGGCUAGAAAACUCCAGGCACAGUGCUGAGAAGGCGGUCGGACAGCACGGUACAACCUGGGAAUCCUCAAUGGAAGACCAUGGGCUACGGCAGAAGCAGGUGGGGACUUGACUCCUGGUUCUACCCCACUGGGUCAGCAUUACUCUCUGCUCCAGAGUCCUCAUCUCUAAGACGGAGAUGGUCAGACCACCUUGAAGUUCUGUCACGAGAGUUGAAGGAGGACAUCAGUGCUCUUGGCUCUUGGGCAUUUGGACUCAGAGCGGAACUUACACCAUUGAGCCCCAAUUAUCAGGCCCUUGGAUUGGACUGAACUACACCACGGGUUUUCCUGUUUCUCCGGCUUGGAGAUGCCAGAUCGUGGGAUCCCUGGAUUUCACAACCAAUUUGUAGUUUACUUCAUGAUAACGUGUUGGAGGAAGAAGGGACGACACUGGAUUACAGAAGUUCUGCUUCUACGAUUUAAAAAGAUAUCCAUUUAUAAGGCCGAUUCACAGCAAGUGUAAUCAACUGCACACCAAUCAGAGCAUUUGCAGAUCAUAAGCGUCAAAUCUCAGCAACGUGGAUGCUCUUUAUUCUCCGUGCAUCAUCCAAAGGAUCUAAAUGAGAACAGAGCUGGAGUGGAGAACCAAGUCUUCAUCUGGAGAUGGCAAAUAUGGCUCAUCUUGUGGGCCAGCUGUCAUUGACUGGUAGUGAUGACAGGAGAAAGCAUGUUGAGAAGGAAUCUGAGGCCAAAUCAAGGGGUACGUUAGGCCUCAACAGAGCCAGACCAUCCAUCCGCCCUGAGCUGCCCUGCAGGGUGGAGGGUCAGCCCAUCAGCUUCUCUUCAUGAUGUGCUCAGGAGCCACUGAAGGACCACACAUCUGAACAGCAUGUGGACAGGCUCCUGCAGGGUGUGGAACACAGCAGAGCCCAUGGGCUGGUGGCAGGAGGGAGGCCCUCAUCUCUCUGCUCUUCCAAUGGAAUCUAAGAGCGGUUUCCAGUAUGGUGCACAAGCUGCAGAGGGAAACCCUAAAUGCUUCUGACCUCUCUGAAAUGAACACCGUGAUGGAGCCUCGUGCUAGAACUCGAGGGCUUUUUGGUCAAGGCAGAAAGAACCAUUAGACGGACUAGUGAGACAGCAAUUAACGUGAAGCUAUUACCCUCAUUUGGGUCUGGAGGGAAGGUGGUGCAGCCAGGAGACAACUUCAGGAGGUAAGAAACAGCCUCCGCCAGGGGGAACACUGGACAUAUGAUCUAAAGAAGAGCCUGAGGUCACCAGAUCACACAGAUGGGAAAGAGUGUCCAGGCAGAAGGACCUCAAGGAACUGGAGACACUGGUGAUGACCGAAGCCCUGAGAACAGGGGAGCGCCGUGCAGCAUGAGGCUGGUGAGGCAGGUGAUGGAGAAGAUGCAGGCAGCUCAGUGGACCAUUUGGGCCCAUCAUAGGGAGACAGAAGUACAAAGCAGGGCACUGAGCAGCUGCUCAUGAAGGCAUAUGCCAUCAGUUUACAAAAGUUAUAUGAGUCUCUUCAGAAUGAAUGGGUUUCCAGGCCUUCAGCUGCGCUGUGCUACCCACGGGUGGCAUCAGCCUCCAGCAUCAAACAUGGAGACCUCAUCUUAUGACUCAGGUGAGGAUGCAGGUUUGACUGACUGGUCUCAUUUUGUGUCUUUGGCUUUCACUAUGGGGCUUCCAGGAGCAUGGGUCCAAAGGCACUCCUUUGGCUGACAGAUAUUCCGCUGCUAUGUGCUUCUGUCACACUGGGGUGUAGGAGGGUCAGGGCAUCCUCUCCUGUUGGGCAUGCUGAAGCACAGUGUAGAAGCAAUGUUCAGGUGGGUCUCGGUAACAGGACAACUCACAGCUUCCUUGCCUUUCACCAGGAACGUGGCAACAGACUUUCCAUGAAUGGCGCCAACUGUUGCUCUGGAGUUCUGGUGCCCACUCUGGCUGCCCCUUGGAAUCACCUGGGGAGCUGGACUCUACAGACGUUUAUCUUCCUCUGCUGGGCUAGAAUCUCCCAAAGGCAAGGUCUUUUGUCUGUUUUGUUUACGGCUCCAUCUGCAGGUUCUCUAUCAGUGCCCGACACUCUAUGAAUGAAAUAUUACCUACUACGUGUCAGAACUUCGCCUGCCCUUUCAGACACAGACUCUACUCUCAUGGUUAUGUAGUCCCUCUACAGUGUCAUUGUUCUCAUUUCUAUGGAUGAGAAAACUGUGGCCAGGAGAUAACUAGUCUGCAGAAUGUUACACAGCCGGUGCCUGAAAUUUUCAAGACUCAUACAUAGCGUAUGUAGCAGCUGCUGCUGGAAUUCCACCCAUGUGCCCUCAGAGCCCCAUUGUCAUGCACUCCAGCCCAACUCCUGACAGCCUGCACAGCAUCUUUGUCAGCAGGUUGCCUGCAGGCUUCCAGAACUCACCGGCACAUGUGCACGAGGUAGACUGGAAGUACCUUGGAUUAACUGCCUCCGUCACCACUCUGCAACAGCCCUUACUCAAUGACUGACAGGUGUGGGAGUAAGGAUACCUCAGUUCCCUCACCCCUUGGCCAAGAUAAUUUCAAGGCAUGGCUUUACAUCCUUUCCAGACCUUCCUCUGAAGGUUAAGGUUCAGUCACCAGCUGCGGUAGCUGGCUUGACAACAUACACUUUCGGGGUUGACUUCUUACUUGGACUAAUUCUCCAAUUUCCUCCUGGCGUCCCUAUGGCUCCCAAACAUAAUUGUGCAUCCUCAAACCUUGAUCAGGGAAUGCUUCUGCAGAAAACCCGACUAAGAGACUACACUGGCAAUUGCAGUUUAAUUUCUUUAAAGGAGGUUGGUCGAAUUUGUAAGUGAUAUUUACAUUAUCAAAAGAGAUGUUGAAAAAUCUGCCUAUGAUCUAAUAGAUGAUUUUAGUAAAUAGAGCAUUAAGCAAAGCACAAGUAUUUGUGGCUGUUUGUAACCAGGCACAAACGUCCCUCAGACAUUAAAGAAUAUAUCAACAUCUGAGAGUAAAUCUCCUAAUCCACUUUCUAGAAACGGCUCAAAUGUUAGAGUUUCGUGGAAUCCUCUAGGGUGAAUUAGCUAUUCCAUUCUCUCUGCUCUCACAGCAUUUGAUUCAUAUUUCUGAAACAGCAUAUACCGUGCUGUAUUGUAAUUGAUCUGUUUACAUAAUACGUCUCCAAGAUUACAUUCAGAGUUCCUCAAAGGCAAAGAAUAAGUCUUGUUAGCCUUUGUCAUCCCCCCACCCUGAUCUGGCCCUGCCACACUGUUGGCUGCAAUAUUUAGUUAUUGAAAAAAAAAUGAAUGAAUAAAUGAAUGAAUUAAUAAA